CCUACGGGGGGCUGCAGUGAGGAAUAUUGGUCAAUGGGCGCGAGUCUGAACCAGCCAAGCAGCGUGAAGGAUGACGGCCCUACGGGUUGUAAACUUCUUUUAUAAAGGAAUAAAGUGAGGCACGUGUGCCUUUCUGUAUGUACUUUAUGAAUAAGGAUCGGCUAACUCCGUGCCAGCAGCCGCGGUAAUACGGAGGAUCCGAGCGUUAUCCGGAUUUAUUGGGUUUAAAGGGAGCGUAGACGGGUUGUUAAGUCAGUUGUGAAAGGUUGGGGCUCAACCGUAAAAUUGCAAUUGAUACUGGCAGUCUUGAGUACAGUUGAGGUAGGCGGAAUGCGUGGUGUAGCGGUGAAAUGCUUAGAUAUCACGAAGAACUCCGAUUGCGAAGGCAGCUUACUAGACUGCCACUGACAUUGAUGCACGAAAGUGUGGGUAUCAAACAGGAUUAGAUACCCGAGUAGUC
This 460-nucleotide ribosomal RNA is filed under the name uncultured bacterium. RNAcentral's name for it is "partial 16S ribosomal RNA". It matches the Rfam family "Bacterial small subunit ribosomal RNA", at positions 338 to 795 of the family's 1533-position model. The record is from RNAcentral.